RNAcentral lists this long non-coding RNA (500 nucleotides) under Ananas comosus (pineapple). RNAcentral's name for it is "long non-coding RNA (ACOM_LNC022621)". The record is from RNAcentral. Lineage: Eukaryota; Viridiplantae; Streptophyta; Magnoliopsida; Poales; Bromeliaceae.
UCAAUUGAGUGUUUGGCCACCUCAUUUUUAAAAUAGGGUAAAUUUCAAAUACUACCCCUGUAGUUUCACACUUUCUCACUUUAAUACCCUAUGAUUUAAAGUGUAUCAAGUUAGUGUCCUGUGGUUUUAUUUUUAUCUUUUCGUCAGCUUUUUCGUUAAUAUUUCGUUAAAUUAUAUACAAAAAAAACUUCAGAUACCCUGCCUAGGUUUAUUGAAUAUUCAUUUUAGUACUCUUUAGUUUUAACUUUGCCACUGAUUUAACGAAAAAAUUAGUAAAAUCAAUAAUAAAAAGAUAAAAAUAAAACCAGUGGGCACUAAAUUGAUACAAUUUAAACCACAGGGUAUUAAAGUGAGAAAGCGUGAAACCACAGGGAUGGUAUUUGAAGUUUUCCCUUUAAAAUAAUAUAAUUCUAAAUUUUUUCAAUUUUUAUUUUUAUUUUUAUAUUUUAUAUUUGAAAUGCCUCAAAUUUGAAAUAACUCAAAAUUAAAAGUUUCAUAAC